Long non-coding RNA from Arabidopsis thaliana (thale cress), 204 nucleotides. RefSeq annotates it as other RNA. The record is from RefSeq. The transcript has a single exon. NCBI's taxonomy places the organism in Eukaryota, Viridiplantae, Streptophyta, Magnoliopsida, Brassicales, Brassicaceae.
AUCCUUAUUGCAAAAUUUAUGUUGAAACGUGUCCAUAAAAUUUAUCUGAAAAACCUUAUCACUUCCCUUAUGAUCUACAGGCUGAAGUUGCACCAUCUGUUCCCUUCCCUGUUUAACUGAUGGAGACUGUUCCGCUACUAAAGUCUCCAGGUCCGAAAAUAGCAACGUCGCUAUCUGCAUGAGCCUCUCAAACUUAUCUAUAGC